CCUACGGGUGGCAGCAGUAGGGAAUCUUCCACAAUGGACGAAAGUCUGAUGGAGCAACGCCGCGUGAGUGAAGAUGUGUUUCGGCUCGUAAAGCUCUGUUGGUCGUGAAGAAAGAUAGAGGUAGUAACUGGCCUUUAUUUGACGGUAAUUACUUAGAAAGUCACGGCUAACUACGUGCCAGCAGCCGCGGUAAUACGUAGGUGGCAAUCGUAGUCCGGAUUUAUUGGGCUUAAAGCGAGUGCAGGCGGUUCAAUAAGUCUGAUGGGAACGCCUUCGGCUCAACCGGAGAAUUGCAUCAGAAACUGUGGAACUGGAGUGCAGAAGAGGAGAGAGGAACUCCAUGUGUAGCGGUGGAAUGCGUAGAUAUAUGGAAGAACACCAGUGGCGAAGGCGGCUCUCGGGUCUGCAACUGACGCUGAGGCUCGAAAGCAUGGGUAGCGAACAGGAUUAGAUACCCCAGUAGUC
This 465-nucleotide ribosomal RNA is filed under the name uncultured bacterium. Its description in RNAcentral is "partial 16S ribosomal RNA". It matches the Rfam family "Bacterial small subunit ribosomal RNA", at positions 338 to 795 of the family's 1533-position model. The record is from RNAcentral.